UUAUUGGGCUAAAGCGUCGGUAGCUGGCCUUGCAAGUCCGUCGGGAAAUCCACCCGCUCAACGGGUGGGCGUCCGGCGGAAACUGUGAGGCUUGGGACCGGGGAGGCUUGAAGGGUACGUCCGGGGUAGGAGUGAAAUCCCGUAAUCCUGGACGGACCGCCGAUGGGGAAACCACUUCAAGAGAACGGAUCCGACAGUGAGGGACGAAAGCUAGGGUCUCGAACCGGAUUAGAUACCCGGGUAGUCCUAGCUGUAAACGAUGCCUGUUAGGUGUGACUCCCACUACGAGUGGGUGUUGUGCCGUAGGGAAGCCGCUAAACAGGCCGCCUGGGAAGUACGUCUGCAAGGAUGAAACUUAAAGGAAUUGGCGGGGGAGCACUACAACCGGAGGAGCCUGCGGUUUAAUUGGACUCAACGCCGGACAUCUCACCAGCAUCGACUGUGGUAAUGACGGUCAGGUUGAUGACCUUACCCGAGCCACAGAGAGGAGGUGCAUGGCCGCCGUCAGCUCGUACCGUGAGGCGUCCUGUUAAGUCAGGCAACGAGCGAGACCCGCAUCCUUACUUGCCAGCAGCACCGCGAGGUGGCUGGGGACAGUAGGGAGACCGCCGUGGCUAACACGGAGGAAGGAACGGGCAACGGUAGGUCAGUAUGCCCCGAAUAUGCUGGGCAACACGCGGGCUACAAUGGCCGAGACAAUGGGUUCCAACGCCGAGAGGCGACGGUAAUCUCAGAAACUCG
RNAcentral lists this ribosomal RNA (741 nucleotides) under uncultured archaeon. Its description in RNAcentral is "bacterial SSU rRNA". It matches the Rfam family "Archaeal small subunit ribosomal RNA", at positions 501 to 1240 of the family's 1478-position model. The record is from RNAcentral.